Molecule: non-coding RNA, 289 nt
Organism: Pelobates cultripes (western spadefoot toad)
Lineage: Eukaryota; Metazoa; Chordata; Amphibia; Anura; Pelobatidae
Source: the annotation of a GenBank genome assembly
AAUGUAACUGUAUGUAAUUUUAUGUCUUUUAUUGUCCUUUGUCUGCCAUGUGGUUAAUGGAGUUUUGCCUCUGUCCUUGGAGAUAAUUUGAUUACUUCACAAUUAUCUCCUGGACAGAGAGGAGGGAUUGUGAUGUAAAUGUGGGUGUGUUUUACGGUUCCCCUGUAACGAUUGGUUUUACUGUGUCCCACCCUGUGGGAUGUCCCCUUGCAUGGGGACUUGCAUAAAAGCCAGUGUGUGGCCAUUACAGACAGUUCCUGCUUAACCCUCAAAGUGAAGUGUCGUCUCA